This 445-nucleotide ribosomal RNA is filed under the name uncultured bacterium. RNAcentral's name for it is "partial 16S ribosomal RNA". It matches the Rfam family "Bacterial small subunit ribosomal RNA", at positions 354 to 796 of the family's 1533-position model. The record is from RNAcentral.
GUGAGGAAUAUUGGUCAAUGGGCGAGAGCCUGAACCAGCCAAGUCGCGUGAAGGAAGACGGUUCUAUGAAUUGUAAACUUCUUUUGUGCAGGAAUAAAGUGGGUUACGUGUAACCUUUUGUAUGUACUGUACGAAUAAGGAUCGGCUAACUCCGUGCCAGCAGCCGCGGUAAUACGGAGGAUCCGAGCGUUAUCCGGAUUUAUUGGGUUUAAAGGGUGCGUAGGUGGAUUGAUAAGUCAGCGGUGAAAGUUUGCAGCUUAACUGUAAAAUUGCCGUUGAAACUGUCGGUCUUGAGUGCAAAUGAGGUAGGCGGAAUGUGUUGUGUAGCGGUGAAAUGCUUAGAUAUAACACAGAACUCCGAUUGCGAAGGCAGCUUACUGGGAUGCAACUGACACUGAUGCACGAAAGCGUGGGUAUCAAACAGGAUUAGAUACCCGAGUAGUCC